This 405-nucleotide ribosomal RNA is filed under the name uncultured bacterium. RNAcentral's name for it is "partial 16S ribosomal RNA". It matches the Rfam family "Bacterial small subunit ribosomal RNA", at positions 29 to 525 of the family's 1533-position model. The record is from RNAcentral.
AUUGAACGCUGGCGGCAGGCCUAACACAUGCAAGUCGAACGAGUGGCGGACGGGUGAGUAAUGUCUGGGAAACUGCCUGAUGGAGGGGGAUAACUACUGGAAACGGUAGCUAAUACCGCAUACCAUCGGAUGUGCCCAGAUGGGAUUAGCUAGUAGGUGGGGUAACGGCUCACCUAGGCGACGAUCCCUAGCUGGUCUGAGAGGAUGACCGGCCACACGGGAAAGGAGACACGGUCCAGACUCCUCGGGGAGGAAGCAUGGGGGAAUAUGGCACAAGGGGGGCAAGCCUGACGCAGCCAGGCCGCGUGUAUGAAGAGGUCCUUCGGGUUGUAAAGUACUUUCAGCGGGGAGGCGUUACCCGCAGAAGAAGCACGGGCUAACUCCGUGCAAGCAGCCGCGGUAAUU